RNAcentral lists this ribosomal RNA (218 nucleotides) under uncultured bacterium. RNAcentral describes it as "partial 16S ribosomal RNA". It matches the Rfam family "Bacterial small subunit ribosomal RNA", at positions 118 to 334 of the family's 1533-position model. The record is from RNAcentral.
UGGGCAACCUGCCCUGUACUGUGGAAUAAUCAUUGGAAACGAUGACUAAUACCGCAUGUGGUCCUCGGAAGGCAUCUUCUGAGGAAGAAAGGAUUUAUUCGGUACAGGAUGGGCCCGCAUCUGAUUAGCUAGUUGGUGAGAUAACAGCCCACCAAGGCGACGAUCAGUAGCCGACCUGAGAGGGUGAUCGGCCACAUUGGGGCUGAGACACGGCCCAA